AAGAAGUCAGGCCCCAAAGCCACGGUUUGAGCAAACCGUGCUGCCUGUAGCUCCGUCGUGGGGACGUAAAAACCUGGGAGGCUGCAAACUGUGGAAGCUGUACGCACAGUGUAGCAGACUAGUGGUUAGAGGAGACCCCUCCCAUGACACAACGCAGCAGCGGGGCCCGAGCACUGAGGGAAGCUGUACCUCCUUGCAAAGGACUAGAGGUUAGAGGAGACCCCCCGCAAACAAAAACAGCAUAU
RNAcentral lists this long non-coding RNA (245 nucleotides) under dengue virus type 3. Its description in RNAcentral is "Dengue virus type 3 partial sfRNA2". The stretch from base 77 to 148 matches the Rfam family "Flavivirus DB element". The record is from RNAcentral. Lineage: Riboviria; Orthornavirae; Kitrinoviricota; Flasuviricetes; Amarillovirales; Flaviviridae.